AGUUUUGAAUUGGCAUUAGUACAGGAUGGUUAAGAACCCUCAGCACAUCUGCUUGAGUAUUAACCAAUGGCAAGCCAGCUCCAAGAACAGGGGCAGGCAGAAGCUGUGGUACGCCCAUUUGCAUACCUGUUGCUAGACCCAUCUGAGAGUAUUGCGGCCCCAAAGGCAACAUUGUUGCUGGUGUAACAAAUCUUUUACCCAUCGUCAUCAUCUGUCAUCCAAGAUUCAUACAGGAACUUGUGGCCUCACAUCAUCUAGGCUCUGCUUAGAGACAAAAAACUGUUUUCAGACAAGAACCUAACAAUAUAAAACCAAAUCUGUGAAUCAAUCAACCCUCUUACACUGCUUUGAUACGUCGAUUCUUCACUGUCUUCAGUAAAAUCUGUGGAGUCGUAUCCCAGUUCAACCGACCUCUCAGCAACCACAGAUUGCUCAUCAGGAGGUACAAUAUCCU
Molecule: long non-coding RNA, 454 nt
Organism: Brassica napus (rape)
Lineage: Eukaryota; Viridiplantae; Streptophyta; Magnoliopsida; Brassicales; Brassicaceae
Exons: 2
Source: RefSeq, a predicted model, not a curated record